GACGAACGCUGGCGGCGCGCCUAACACAUGCAAGUCGAACGAGCGAGGGAGAGCUUGCUUUCUUGAGCGAGUGGCGAACGGGUGAGUAACGCGUGAGGAACCUGCCUCAAAGAGGGGGACAACAGUUGGAAACGACUGCUAAUACCGCAUAAGCCCACGGUGCCGCAUGGCACAGAGGGAAAAGGAGCAAUCCGCUUUGAGAUGGCCUCGCGUCCGAUUAGCUGGUUGGUGAGGUAACGGCCCACCAAGGCGACGAUCGGUAGCCGGACAGAGAGGUUGAACGGCCACACUGGGACUGAGACACGGCCCAGACUCCUACGGGAGGCAGCAGUGGGGAAUAUUGCACAAUGGGGGAAACCCUGAUGCAGCGACGCCGCGUGGAGGAAGAAGGUCUUCGGAUUGUAAACUCCUGUUGUUGGGGAAGAUAAUGACGGUACCCAACAAGGAAGUGACGGCUAACUACGUG
RNAcentral lists this ribosomal RNA (466 nucleotides) under uncultured bacterium. Its description in RNAcentral is "partial 16S ribosomal RNA". It matches the Rfam family "Bacterial small subunit ribosomal RNA", at positions 28 to 507 of the family's 1533-position model. The record is from RNAcentral.